This is a long non-coding RNA of Quercus lobata, 3255 nucleotides long. RefSeq lists it as uncharacterized. The record is from RefSeq and is a predicted model, not a curated record. The transcript is spliced from 4 exons. NCBI's taxonomy places the organism in Eukaryota, Viridiplantae, Streptophyta, Magnoliopsida, Fagales, Fagaceae.
CCCACCUGUUUGACAUAUUUUUUUAAUUUCUCAUCACUCAAAUUUUUUUACUUUUUGUGGGAUCCAUACCUGAGCAACAUGUCAUAAGUUCUGUUAACCUACCCGCCUCACCCUUACUGUCUUCAUUUCAUUUUCUUUCCCUUCAGUCACCAUUGCCUUGUUACUCUCAAUGAAGCUGUCCUCUUUCUUUUUCAUUUCUCAUGUACACACACAUCAACAAGAACAAUCCUAUCCCAAACCUACGGCCAAACCAUCAUAAACAUACAAACACAAAUGAAUACAAACAUAAACUCAUAGGUACCCACAGAUGUUAAAAUCAAAACCCACAAAUACCCAAAUCAAAAAUCACAAAUACAGACCUUAUGCCCAAAUCAAAUCCGAACCCACACCACAAAUCCUCAACCCAUUUUGGCAUUUCGGACCUAGGCAUCUCAAAGAAUCUCUCCGAAGAUGAAGACGACAACGAUGAUGAGUUUCUCUGGCGCCGGUCUACGGCUGCGUCCCUCUGGAACUCCACCCAUCUCGAUGUCCUUGCUCCGGCCGAUCCACCUUGGUCCAGACUUCUCCGUGAGAAAUUGGACGACGAAUCGGCCAAUUUCUUGCUCAGGGAUCUUUGCCUUUUGAGAAUUUGAGGAUCAGACAACUCGGAGCUUCGGAACAGAGACUCGCGCUCAAAGAAAUCAGAUAAAUCCAAGCCGCAACAGAAGAUCCGAUUCUCGUCCAUGAAGAGAAUCGGGUUCCCGGCUAAAGAUGGGUUACAAGGAAUGUAGCAAUGGUUGAAGAUAGGAAUCAAAUGCGGAGCUCUCUUUAGAGCGUUCCGGGCUACUUGUAGAGCCUUUUCCGGGUGGGACGGUCUAGGUCCCCAAGACUUCGACUAGAUCGUAUUCCAAGCGAUCUUCAUUUAAUGUGAGAUGCAAAGGGAAAAGUACAGAUAGACAAGAGAGAAAGGAGUAAAAAAUUUAUGAAGAAAUGUUGGUUUGUUGCUGGGAGAAGGAGAAAGGGGAAAGAAGAAAGAGAAAGGGGAAAGAGAGAAAGAGAAAAAGUCGUUGGUGCUUAGGACUUGUCCCUGACACGGGUCUCACAAAGAUGCAUGUAUUUACAUUAUUGCUACCAUCACUCGUUUUUCAGAAAUUGAAAACAACUUAAAGUUGUUUUCAAUUUCUGUGACUCAAACUCAAUUUUUUGAGAAUUGAGUCACGGAAAUUGAGUUAGGAAACUCAUCCAAACAAAGCAAGUCUCUGUGGGGUCCACAAAAUUCAAAAAUUGAGUGAUGAAAACUGAGUAUUGGAUUAUGAAAACACUUAAACCAAACAACACCUUACAUGCUAAGCUCACUCACUCAUUUUCGCUCAUCAGUCUCCCUCUCUCUGUAAGAAAACUCAAAUACAGAUCUCCGACGAUGAACUGAGCGCGGUGGUCGGCGAUCUCAACUCCGCCGCUUUUUCUUCCGAUUACAGUUAGACAUUUAUGAUAAGUUCAUUCGGACAACCGACCUCUCAGAUCCCAAGCAUGAAUCAAUUGUGAAGGAAUUUUACUCAAGGGUUCUUGCCAAUGGAUGAGAAAGAAUUGCUUGAUAACAAGUGUUGCCCUAUGCACCUGAAGUCAUGUGUUCUGCGGAAAGAGGAUAAGUACUACUUUGCACUAUCAAAAUAUAAAAAAUUCUUGGAAGAAACUUUGACACAAAAUCCAGAUUUUUUUUCAGCCUUCUUUCCGGUUAAAUGAGGUGAGAUGGUAGGUAAUUAUGGAAAAAACUUAGUCUAGCAUGUCCUAAAUAGUUGUCCAUGAGCUUUACUGUAAAAAGAUUUUCUUGGGGGCUGCGUUCAGCAUGAUUAGUUUCCUGCUAAGAGCCUGAGCAUGCUGAUUGAGAAUGCUGUAAGCUUAAUAAUUGGCAUAUUGAGUAUAUACUGUUGUAGUAAAUUUGUAUUAGCUAUUGCUAUAGUUAUAGGCACAUGACAGACUGCAUUUGAUAGUACUUUUCAUUCAAGAUAUUCUUUUUGAAGAGUCAUUAUGCCAUGAUUGCUACUAUAUUCCUUAAAAUGUUUUUGUGCUGAACCAACAAUACUUUAAAUAUGCCUUUCGGGUAAAGAUUUAUUGUUGACAUGCCCUGUAUUGAUAGUGCUUCUGCUCUCAAAGGUCAAUCAUGCUUGGCAGGGGAAUCAGUUUUUAUGAAUUUAAUCUAAAAUUCUCUCUGCAUCUCUUUCCCCUUGGCAAUUUAUUGAUGAAACGUUAGGAAUACUCUUUUUGUAUCCUGCUAUAUGGAAUUUUCUAUUAAUCACUUCCAUAAUCUUUUUUGCUUGAAGGUGCAAAGCCGGAUCAAAAGUGGCUCAAGAAAUUUUUUUCUGUUUCCUGAGCAUCAGUGUAUUGGGGCAUCCUAGUUCCUAAUGACAAUAAGCAAACCAUAUAUGUGUGGCUUGAUGCAUUACUAGGAUAUGUAUCAGCACUAUCAGAGGAUGCAGGGCAAGCAAAUCUACAAAGUGCUGUUUCUUCAGGUUGGCCUGCCUCACUACACUUGAUUAAAUAAGGUAUAAGCAUCUUCUAUGCUUAUUGGAAAGUUCGUGUAACUGGCCACUUAAUAGCUGUACUAAAUCUAUUAUCUUCAUUCUAAUUAUUAAAACCUAAUAUAAGCUGUAAGACCCCUGAUUCAUUAAUAGAUAAUUUUGCAAAUAAUUAUCUCUCCAGGUAGGUGCUGUAUUUAAGUUUCUAACUUUGGAUCGUGCAUGCUGUGAAAUAUGACCUCAUAUUUUUUGCUCAAAUUCUAUUAAAUAUUAAUAGUGCUAGAUUUUAGUUUCUUUUGAAUGAAAAGUAACACUUAAUAUGAAAAUUCCUUAAUUGGUGUUGCUGCUGACUGCUGCUGUAUGAGACCAGUAAAUAUGGAAUGACAUGAACAUUGGUAAGAGUGAAGCAGACAAAGACCACACGCUGUUGGAAUUUUAGAGGCAAUGCUUAGAAGUCUACAGACCAAAGGUUGAGGAGGCUGCCAAUGCCAAGGCAUGCCUCCAUUGUCUGUUGCAGCUGAAGAAGCUGAACUUGCCACUCUCAUGGCUGAACGCCUCCAUCAGGAUUUUGGAUUAUUGUGGACUUGGUGAAAUGUGGUAUUUUGUUAUUUUGCUUGGAUGUUUUAGUUUAUCAUGAUAGGAUUUUGGAACUAUUGCGGACUUGGUAAUAUACCAAUUUGUGGUCUUUUGAUGUAUGUGUGGUUGUGGAACACAUUGAAAGAGACUUGGAGCAUUUUAUAUAAUAUUGAGUUUUGAGAUA